Molecule: ribosomal RNA, 329 nt
Filed under: Staphylococcus aureus
Lineage: Bacteria; Bacillati; Bacillota; Bacilli; Caryophanales; Staphylococcaceae
Description: bacterial SSU rRNA
Rfam family: Bacterial small subunit ribosomal RNA
Source: RNAcentral
ACGGUCUUGCUGAUACUUAUAGAUGGAUCCGCGCCGCAUUAGCUAGUCGGUAAGGCAACGGCUUACCAAGGCCUCGAUCCAUAGCCGAUCUGAGAGGGUUAUCGGCCACACUGGAACUGAGCCACGGUCCAGAGUCCUACGGUUGUCCGCAGUAGGGAAUCUUCCGCAAUGGGCGCACGCCUGACGGGGCAGCGCCGCGUGAGUUAUGAAGGUCUUCGGAUCGUGAAACUCUGUUCUUUGGGAAGAACAUAGGUGUAAGUAACUGUGCACCUCUUGACGGUGCCUAAUCAGAAAGCCACGGCUAACUCCGUGCCAGCAGCCGCGGUAAU